CCUGUUCUCAAGGGGUUCCUUCUUUGCUCUGCCACACAUUUUUUCCUAAGGGCCAACUCUUUCCUCUACUGGGGGCUGCUUUGCCGGAACGCCUCCUGUUUGGGGCGCAGGGACGGGGAAGGGAGUGAAGCAGCCCGUUCUGGUGAGGCAUUCCCAGGAGCCACGUCUGCAGCGCUCUAACCGGGAAGGGCCACAAUUUGGCUGUGCAGGGGGGAGGGGACUCUGUAUAGAAGGGUUGCACGUUUUCCUUCCCCUUUAUGGGCUGAUAAACAGCUGGGUGUAUAGCGUUGACAGCCCACGACGCCGAGUCCCUGGCGUUCCCCCCUCGCCGUAGUUUUCUUUUCUUUGCAAACCUAACAGCGUGACAGUGCGUAGAAGGAAGAAUUCCCUGCAGUAAUUCCUAGAUUAGCUUCAGUCUCAGGCAGUCACAGCUGGAGCAACUGAGUCCUGCUGCGGUUUAACUAGUCUUCAUUCGUUUCGUAACAACCGAAAGUGAAACAGGACUGGGCGGGCUCUGGGGAGAACGUGAUUUGCUGUCAUUGGUGGCAGCUCUCCGCUGAUGCUUUCUCUGCAGACACGUUCCCAAACUCGUCCUCAAAAGAACUUUUCUGAUGUAGCUAAUCUGCUUCUGAUUUGAGUGAUGUCCCAGCAGGCACCAUGCUGGUGAUGGCCUGGCCACCAUGGAACUCUAUUGGAGCACGGCACUGGCUAGGGACUCAGAAAACACACCUGAGAAGAAUUUGUCUCCACUACCAGCAGUAUCUGAAGAGACAUUUUCUCAGAUUUUUAAAUAAUGCGACUAGAAUAACCAUCUUCAUUCUUUGCUGCAUCAGUGCAUAUCUACCAGGAAUAGAAGCUGAAAGAAGAAGGUGGGAGGCAGUUAUAGAUGAUUUGCAUGAGAUUAAAGACACAUCUGAUAGCAUUGAUGCCUGUUUAUACACUGCAUAUACAGACAAGCCAGAUGAGUGCGAAGUACAAGUGAUGGAAUGCUUUUUGUUAGAGCUGAAAGUGAUUUCCCAUGAAUGUGAAAUCAGAAAAGGAUGUAAAAUCAAACAGCACGUGCGGAAUGUGCUGGCAAAUGUAAAAGCAAAUUUACCAAAGAACACAAGUUUACUGAACAGUCCGAACAGGAAUAAAAUAACAUGCAAACAAUGUGAAGAGUACGAAGAAAGAAAUUUUAUUAAAUUUAUAGAGACUUUCGAAGAGUUUGCAAAACACAAACUGAAAUUUUUACCGCACGUUCCUAAAUAGGCUUUCUUUUUGAAAGUGCUUAAGGGAAACUCCAUAAACUUUGCCGGCACUUCAAGCAAUAUAAUCAUUGGAUGGAUGGAGAGACAGACUGUUUGGCUAUUUUAAGAACUUUGUAAGACAGAAAGGCAGAAAAAACAAAAUACAGCAAAGAAUAAUCUGAACUAUGAACUGCGCCACAGACUAUUUUGCCUUUUUAUUUUUAAUUUACUACUUUCUCUGGGAAGCUAUUAAAAUGUAAAAUUAUGUGUAUUUUAUAAGCAUUUUAGAUAAAUAUUUGCUCUUUGCAUGUCUCAAUAAUUGACUACUACUUAGAAAACAUAGUAACUUGCACAGCCUUCCCUAUCCAGCCCUCCAUACAGUUGUGCAACCCCGAUGUGACCCUCGGGCCAAAAAGUUUGCCCAUCCCUGCACUAUUAAGAGACUGGCAAUAGACUGUUUGCCAAGCUAGUUGUGAUUUCCUGCUCUCUCUUUUCUGGCUUUAUUGUGUUUGAAGUGCUAUGACAUUCUGGACCAAAUUCUGUUUGCCUUACCCAACUAAUCCCAUUGAUUUAAAUGAGAUGAAUGUGUGAGUAAAGCCAGGAGGAUUCAGUUCUAUAUGUGCACAGGCCAAUGAGAACAUUUUUUCCAUUGUGCUAUUUAUAUGUAGUGUGGGAAAAUGUAAC
This is an RNA transcript of Chrysemys picta bellii (western painted turtle), 1913 nucleotides long. It is a transcript of the gene named interleukin 15, with no coding region annotated. The record is from RefSeq and is a predicted model, not a curated record. NCBI's taxonomy places the organism in Eukaryota, Metazoa, Chordata, Testudines, Emydidae.